This is a non-coding RNA of Deferribacter desulfuricans SSM1, 99 nucleotides long. It matches the Rfam family "Bacterial small signal recognition particle RNA". Rfam says of the family: The signal recognition particle (SRP) is a universally conserved ribonucleoprotein involved in the co-translational targeting of proteins to membranes. Archaeal SRP consists of a 7S RNA and homologues of the eukaryotic SRP19 and SRP54 proteins. Lineage: Bacteria; Pseudomonadati; Deferribacterota; Deferribacteres; Deferribacterales; Deferribacteraceae. The record is from Rfam.
CGAUGGGGCCUCUGCAACAGGAGCUGCGUGAACCCCGCCAGGCCCGGAAGGGAGCAACGGUAGCGUGGUUUCCUGUGUGCCGGAGUGUCCCUGUCGAGC